AGAGUUUGAUCCUGGCUCAGAGUUUUUAACUCAAGUGGCGGACGGGUGAGUAACACGUAAGAAUUUGCCUUUAGGAGGGGGACAACAGCUGGAAACGGCUGCUAAUACCCCAUAUGCUUUCGAGUGAAAUGGAUUUUUCCGCCUAGAGAGAAGCUUGCGGCUGAUUAGCUUGUUGGUGAGGUAAUGGCUCACCAAGGCGACGAUCAGUAUCUGGUUUGAGAGGACGAUCAGACACACUGGAACUGAGACACGGUCCAGACUCCUACGGGAGGCAGCAGUGGGGAAUAUUGCACAAUGGAGGAAACUCUGAUGCAGCGAUGCCGCGUGAGUGAAGAAGGCCCUUGGGUUGUAAAGCUCUUUCGUCGGGGAAGAAAAUGACUGUACCCGAAUAAGAAGGUCCGGCUAACUUCGUGCCAGCAGCCGCGGUAAUACGAAGGGACCUAGCGUAGUUCGGAAUUACUGGGCUUAAAGAGUUCGUAGGUGGGUUAAAAAAAGUUGGGUUGUGAAAUCCCGAAGCUUAACUUCGGAACUGCAAUCAAAACUUUUUAGCUAGAGUAUGAUAGAGGAAAGCAGAAUUUCUAGUGUAGAGGUGAAAUUCGUAGAUAUUAGAAAGAAUACCAAUUGCGAAGGCAGCUUUCUGGAUCAUUACUGACGCUGAGGAACGAAAGCAUGGGUAGCGAAGAGGAUUAGAUACCCUCGUAGUCCAUGCCGUAAACGAUGUGUGUUAGACGUUGGAAAUUUAUUUUCAGUGUCGCAGCGAAAGCAUUAAACACACCGCCUGGGGAGUACGACCGCAAGGUUAAAACUCAAAUGAAUUGACGGGGACCCGCACAAGUAGUGGAGCAUGUGGUUUAAUUCGAAGAUACGCGCAGAACCUUACCAACACUUGACAUGUUCGUCGCGACUUUAAGAGAUUAAAGUUUUCGGUUCGGCCGGACGAAACACAGGUGCUGCAUGGCUGUCGUCAGCUCGUGUCGUGAGAUGUUGGGUUAAGUCCCGCAACGAGCGCAACCCCUUUCCUUAGUUGCCAGCACAUAAUGGUGGGGACUCUAAGGAUACUGCCUGGGAUAACCAGGAGGAAGGUGGGGAUGAUGUCAAGUCAGUAUGUCCCUUAUGCCCAGGGCUACACACGUGUUACAAUGGUCGGUACAAUGGGUUGCUACCCUGCAAAGGCAAGCUAAUCCCAAAAAACCGAUCCCAGUUCAGAUUAGAGUCUGCAACUCGACUCUAUGAAGUAGGAAUCUCUAGUAAUCGCGGAUCAGCACGCCGCGGUGAAUACGUUCCCGGGUCUUGUACACACCGCCCGUCAAGCCAUGGAAGUCGGCAGUACCCGAAGAAGGUGUGCCCGGUGACUGGGAUGAAGUCGUAACAAGGUAGCCGUA
This 1382-nucleotide ribosomal RNA is filed under the name uncultured bacterium. Its description in RNAcentral is "bacterial SSU rRNA". It matches the Rfam family "Bacterial small subunit ribosomal RNA". The record is from RNAcentral.